AUGUGAAUAGAAUGCAGCUGUUCUGACUAAAAAUAAUCUAGACAAUAAUAUGUUAGAGGCAAAUAUAAUAGAUUUGUUAGAAGAAGAGGUAAUCUAUAUUUUAUUACCGACUGGUAAAAUGUGUAUCGCUAUCUAGCGGUACUAAAUAUUACUUCAAUGUAUCGACUAGUAAAAUGAUGCUGCCAUCUAGCGGAAGUAAAUGUUACUAUGUCUUACCGACUAGUAGAAUAUGUUUCGCCAUCUAGACAAAAGACAAAACAUCACUAGGAUAAAAUCAAGAUGGCUACCUGUCAAUGUACUUUGAAUACCAUAAAUACAGGCUAUGUGCAGUGUAAAUGAUCGCCAAUUCUGGAUGAAAAUAAUUAAACUGGAUAAAGUGCUGUGGGACAGUGUUACGUCAUAACCUAAGAAAAAUAAUUUUCUUUAUUAAAUCCGAGAAUAUAGAUGAAUUCAAGAUGAUCUCUUAAUCAAAUUAUUUUAACAAAUACUAAUCAGCAUGCAGAUCUAUAUUUUUAAUUCCAAUCCAAGAACAUUAUACAUACUCACGAGAAGAAAAAUUCAUUACAACAUUCGAUAAAUGGAUAUAUAUAUUUCAUUUUCUUACGACUAACGAUUAAAAGAUUUGCAUUGAUUAUGCCAUCCGAAUAAGAGUUUUAUUCUAUAAUAUUAUGUAAAUAGAAUGCAGCUGCAGUAACAAAGAAUAAUCAAGACAAGAAUGUGUCAAAAGGAUAGGUAAAUAAUUUGACUAGAAAUGCCUAAUCAUUAUUAUCAAGAUUGAUAAGAAGAAUUCAACAAUAGUGCAACUAACAUUAUUAUAUUAAACACUUAUAUGUCUAUUUUGCACCCCACAAUAAUACACAUGCACAUACA
This is a long non-coding RNA of Polistes dominula (European paper wasp), 870 nucleotides long. The record is from RefSeq and is a predicted model, not a curated record. NCBI's taxonomy places the organism in Eukaryota, Metazoa, Arthropoda, Insecta, Hymenoptera, Vespidae.